RNAcentral lists this ribosomal RNA (429 nucleotides) under Pseudomonadota bacterium. Its description in RNAcentral is "Proteobacteria bacterium partial 16S ribosomal RNA". It matches the Rfam family "Bacterial small subunit ribosomal RNA", at positions 355 to 776 of the family's 1533-position model. Lineage: Bacteria; Pseudomonadati; Pseudomonadota. The record is from RNAcentral.
UGGGGAAUAUUGGACAAUGGGCGAAAGCCUGAUCCAGCCACGCCGCGUGUGUGAAGAAGGUCUUCGGAUUGUAAAGCACUUUAAGUUGGGAGGAAGGGCAGUAAGCGAAUACCUUGCUGUUUUGACGUUACCGACAGAAUAAGCACCGGCUAACUCUGUGCCAGCAGCCGCGGUAAUACAGAGGGUGCAAGCGUUAAUCGGAAUUACUGGGCGUAAAGCGCGCGUAGGUGGUUCGUUAAGUUGAAUGUGAAAGCCCCGGGCUCAACCUGAGAACUGCAUCCAAAACUGGAGAGCUAGAGUAGGGCAGAGGGUGGUGGAAUUUCCUGUGUAGCGGAGAAAUGCGUAGAUAUAGGAAGGAACACCAGUGGCGAAGGCGACCACCUGGGCUCAUACUGACACUGAGGUGCGAAAGCGUGGGGAGCAAACAGG